This 2405-nucleotide ribosomal RNA is filed under the name Bacillus safensis. Its description in RNAcentral is "partial 23S ribosomal RNA". It matches the Rfam family "Bacterial large subunit ribosomal RNA", at positions 1 to 2396 of the family's 2925-position model. The record is from RNAcentral. Lineage: Bacteria; Bacillati; Bacillota; Bacilli; Caryophanales; Bacillaceae.
AAUGGUUAAGUUAGAAAGGGCGCACGGUGGAUGCCUUGGCACUAGGAGCCGAUGAAGGACGGGACGAACACCGAUAUGCUUCGGGGAGCUGUAAGCAAGCUUUGAUCCGGAGAUUUCCGAAUGGGGAAACCCACUGCUCGUAAUGGAGUAGUAUCCAUACUUGAAUACAUAGAGUAUGAGAAGGCAUACCCGGGGAACUGAAACAUCUAAGUACCCGGAGGAAGAGAAAGCAAAUGCGAUUCCCUGAGUAGCGGCGAGCGAAACGGGAACAGCCCAAACCAAGAGGCUUGCCUCUUGGGGUUGUAGGACACUCUAUACGGAGUUACAAAGGAACGAUAUAAGCGAAGAGGUCUGGAAAGGCCCGCCAAAGAAGGUAACAGCCCUGUAACUGAAAUGUUGUUCUCUCCAGAGUGGAUCCUGAGUACGGCGGAACACGUGAAAUUCCGUCGGAAUCCGGGAGGACCAUCUCCCAAGGCUAAAUACUCCCUAGUGACCGAUAGUGAACCAGUACCGUGAGGGAAAGGUGAAAAGCACCCCGGAAGGGGAGUGAAAUAGAUCCUGAAACCGUGUGCCUACAAGUAGUCAGAGCCCGUUAACGGGUGAUGGCGUGCCUUUUGUAGAAUGAACCGGCGAGUUACGAUCCCGUGCAAGGUUAAGCAGAAGAUGCGGAGCCGCAGCGAAAGCGAGUCUGAAUAGGGCGCAUGAGUACGUGGUCGUAGACCCGAAACCAGGUGAUCUACCCAUGUCCAGGGUGAAGUUCAGGUAACACUGAAUGGAGGCCCGAACCCACGCACGUUGAAAAGUGCGGGGAUGAGGUGUGGGUAGGGGUGAAAUGCCAAUCGAACCUGGAGAUAGCUGGUUCUCUCCGAAAUAGCUUUAGGGCUAGCCUCAAGGUAAGAGUCUCGGAGGUAGAGCACUGAUUGGACUAGGGGCCCCUACCGGGUUACCGAAUUCAGUCAAACUCCGAAUGCCGAUGACUUAUCCUUGGGAGUCAGACUGCGAGUGAUAAGAUCCGUAGUCGAAAGGGAAACAGCCCAGACCGCCAGCUAAGGUCCCAAAGUAUACGUUAAGUGGAAAAGGAUGUGGAGUUGCUUAGACAACCAGGAUGUUGGCUUAGAAGCAGCCACCAUUUAAAGAGUGCGUAAUAGCUCACUGGUCGAGUGACUCUGCGCCGAAAAUGUACCGGGGCUAAACGUAUCACCGAAGCUGCGGACUGUUCUUACGAACAGUGGUAGGAGAGCGUUCUAAGGGCUGUGAAGCCAGACCGGAAGGACUGGUGGAGCGCUUAGAAGUGAGAAUGCCGGUAUGAGUAGCGAAAGACGGGUGAGAAUCCCGUCCACCGAAUGCCUAAGGUUUCCUGAGGAAGGCUCGUCCGCUCAGGGUUAGUCGGGACCUAAGCCGAGGCCGAAAGGCGUAGGCGAUGGACAACAGGUUGAUAUUCCUGUACCACCUCCUCACCAUUUGAGCAAUGGGGGGACGCAGGAGGAUAGGGUAAGCGCGGUAUUGGAUAUCCGCGUCCAAGCAGUUAGGCUGGGAAAUAGGCAAAUCCGUUUCCCGUAAAGGCUGAGCUGUGAUGGCGAGCGAAAUUUAGUAGCGAAGUUCCUGAUUCCACACUGCCAAGAAAAGCCUCUAGCGAGGUGAGAGGUGCCCGUACCGCAAACCGACACAGGUAGGCGAGGAGAGAAUCCUAAGGUGAUCGAGAGAACUCUCGUUAAGGAACUCGGCAAAAUGACCCCGUAACUUCGGGAGAAGGGGUGCUUCUUAGGGUGUUAAAGCCCCGAGAAGCCGCAGUGAAUAGGCCCAGGCGACUGUUUAGCAAAAACACAGGUCUCUGCGAAGCCGUAAGGCGAAGUAUAGGGGCUGACGCCUGCCCGGUGCUGGAAGGUUAAGAGGAGCGCUUAGCGUAAGCGAAGGUGCGAAUUGAAGCCCCAGUAAACGGCGGCCGUAACUAUAACGGUCCUAAGGUAGCGAAAUUCCUUGUCGGGUAAGUUCCGACCCGCACGAAAGGCGCAACGAUCUGGGCACUGUCUCAACGAGAGACUCGGUGAAAUUAUAGUACCUGUGAAGAUGCAGGUUACCCGCGACAGGACGGAAAGACCCCGUGGAGCUUUACUGCAGCCUGAUAUUGAAUGUUGGUACAGCUUGUACAGGAUAGGUAGGAGCCUUGGAAACCGGAGCGCUAGCUUCGGUGGAGGCAUCGGUGGGAUACUACCCUGGCUGUAUUGACCUUCUAACCCGCUGCCCUUAUCGGGCAGGGAGACAGUGUCAGGUGGGCAGUUUGACUGGGGCGGUCGCCUCCUAAAAUGUAACGGAGGCGCCCAAAGGUUCCCUCAGAAUGGUUGGAAAUCAUUCGCAGAGUGUAAAGGCACAAGGGAGCUUGACUGCGAGACCUACAAGUCGAGCAG